AUUGAACGCUGGCGGCAUGCUUUACACAUGCAAGUCGAACGGCAGCGCGGGCUUCGGCCUGGCUGCGAGUGGCGAACGGGUGAGUAAUGCAUCGGAACGUGCCCAGUAGUGGGGGAUAGCCCGGCGAAAGCCGGAUUAAUACCGCAUACGACCUGCGGGUGAAAGCGGGGGACCGAAAGGCCUCGCGCUAUUGGAGCGGCCGAUGUCGGAUUAGCUAGUUGGUGGGGUAAAGGCUUACCAAGGCGACGAUCCGUAGCUGGUCUGAGAGGACGACCAGCCACACUGGGACUGAGACACGGCCCAGACUCCUACGGGAGGCAGCAGUGGGGAAUUUUGGACAAUGGGGGCAACCCUGAUCCAGCCAUGCCGCGUGCGGGAAGAAGGCCUUCGGGUUGUAAACCGCUUUUGUUCGGGAAGAAAUCCUCUGGGCUAAUACCCCGGGGGGAUGACGGUACCGGAAGAAUAAGCACCGGCUAACUACGUG
This 484-nucleotide ribosomal RNA is filed under the name uncultured bacterium. Its description in RNAcentral is "partial 16S ribosomal RNA". It matches the Rfam family "Bacterial small subunit ribosomal RNA", at positions 28 to 507 of the family's 1533-position model. The record is from RNAcentral.